This 2268-nucleotide ribosomal RNA is filed under the name Triticum aestivum (bread wheat). RNAcentral's name for it is "partial small subunit ribosomal RNA". Lineage: Eukaryota; Viridiplantae; Streptophyta; Magnoliopsida; Poales; Poaceae. The record is from RNAcentral.
AUGGAGACGGCGCACGAGGUGGCCAUCUACAUUGACCGCUUCCACAAUCUCGACUUGUACCACCAAGGAUGGUACCGGAUGAAGAUUAGUGCGGCGUGGGAGCAGGACGACGGCAGGGCACCGGUGUCGCCAGCCAGGGUAGCACAAUACGAAGCUACUGAUAUUGGUGCGAAGCGUGCAAGUGGCUUUUGGAAAAUAGAUGACGUUGACAACAGCUUCUAUACACAGCCAUUUAGAAUUAAAUAUGCUAGACAAGAUAUUUAUUUAUCACUUAUGGUGUCUUUCUACAUACCCAACAGUCAAGAUGAGGGUCCAGCAACUUCUUCAGUUAUGUUGAAGUUUGAGCUCCUAUUUGUUCCAACAUUGGGGAAUAGGAUUGAAACUGAAGAUUCAAAUGACCAGUAUUUGGUCCCUGUUCAUGAAUUUAGGAUCCCACAUAGGGCACUCCUGGGUUUACACACAUAUUGUCCUGUCCAUUUUGACACUUUCCACCCUGUGCUUGUUGAUCUGACCAUACAUAUAGUGUACCUGAAAGCUGGCGUGACUAAAUCGUCACUGAAGGCAUUCAAGCAAGGUUCAGUCUCAAAGUCAUAUGAUAUUCUGAAGGCAUUAUUAUCUUCUAGAGAACUGUUGCUUGAGGAAGUAAAGAGGAUCAGUAAUGGUAUUGGUCAGACUCUUGAAGAUUUGGAUGGCGCUGAUUUAACACUUGGUAAAUACGAGUCAGUUCACCCAACAAAGUCAAGUUUUCCUAAUUAUACUAAUGGGCUCCCUGUAAUCCCAAAGUGCAUUGGCCAGCAGUUUGGCAUUUUACAAGAUCUUCUAGAGAGAUCUGAUGAUGCGGUUCAAAGCACUAAUGAUGUUAUGCUGUACACCCUUUCCAAAGAAGAAUUGUUUGAAUUAUUUGAAACAGUGAGCGACCAACUUUCACUUUUAUGGAGUGGAUUCCUGAAAUUUCAUAGGAUAAAUAAAUUAAAGAUAUUGGAUUACUUGCAUGAUAUUUGGGAUGUUGAUCGGAAAUCAGAAUGGUCAAUAUGGAUUGUUCAUUCAAAAAUUGAGAUUCCACAUCGUUACAUGCAUGGUAUGGGUGACAGUUCGUCUCCUCGCCAUUCACUCCGGAGGGUUUCCAGCUCAAAGAAGUUGCAUCAUGAUCCUGUACAGAAUGCUUCUUCACGAGCUGAACUCCACAGAAAAAGUAUUGCGCAAAUGAAGAUUAACGCACGGUCUGUUCAAGAUAUGCAUAUCUAUGCUAAUCCUUCACGUGUUCCUGUUGUUCUUAUAGAACAACAUGUCAUGGUCGUUCCACAACAUGGUUGUAACAAGGAUUUGUUGGCAAAUGCUCCAGAUCUGUAUAAUACUUCUGUACCACCUAAUCUACAAGGAGAUUCUUUUGCGGGGAAUCCGCUCGGUGGUAAAAACACUGGACAUGUCUUACGAGCUGUUAUUUUUGUGCAUGGAUUUCAGGGGCAUCAUCUGGAUCUUUGUCUCAUUAGAAACCAAUGGCUUUUGCGUGAUCCUGGAGCUGAGUGCCUAUUGUCUGAGACAAACGAAGAUAGAACAUAUGGAGAUUUUAAAGAAAUGGGUAGAAGGCUUGCUAAUGAAGUGGUCUCAUUCCUAAAGAACAAAUUGGAUAAGUAUUCGAGACAUGGAGGCUGCAGAGAAUUGAAGCUUAGUUUUGUCGGUCACUCCAUUGGGAACGUCAUCAUCAGAAGUGCAUUAUCAGAACCCAAGUUGCAGCCGUUUUUGAAGAACCUCUACACAUACAUGUCGAUAUCAGGGCCUCAUUUAGGUUACUGGUACAGCUCAAAUUCGUUGUUCAACUCUGGCCUCUGGCUUAUGAAGAGACUCAAGGGACUGCAAUGCAUGCAUCAGCUCACUUUCACUGAUGAGCAAGACCCCCAGAAUACAUUUUUUUACAAGCUCUGCAAGCUCAAGACAUUGGAGAACUUCAAAAACAUCAUUUUGGUGUCUUCGCCGCAGGAUGGCUACGUCCCAUACCAUUCAGCGAGAAUUGACCUCUGCCCGGCCUCGUCGUCAGAUAGCUCGAAGAAGGGGCAGGUGUUCACGGAGAUGCUCAACAAUUGCCUGGACCAGAUCCGUGCACCCACCUCCGAGACGCGGGUGUUCAUGCGCUGCGACGUGAGCUUCGACCAGUCCACCCAGCGACGGGACCUCAACUCCUUUGUCGGUAGGGCUGCACACGUCGAGUUCCUGGAGAAUGACACGUAUGCCAGGUUCAUCAUGUGGUCCUUUCCAGAAUUGUUCCUGUGA